This is a long non-coding RNA of Heterocephalus glaber (naked mole-rat), 1006 nucleotides long. RefSeq lists it as uncharacterized. The record is from RefSeq and is a predicted model, not a curated record. Lineage: Eukaryota; Metazoa; Chordata; Mammalia; Rodentia; Bathyergidae.
CUUGAAUAAACGGCCCUCGUGUGCUUACAUCGGAAUCAGCUUCCUGGUGGUCUUUGGGACUUCCCGAUCUGGGCAUAACAGCCUGAGGCAUGGGCCUGUUCUACUUUGCCUUUUCAUCUUCUCUGCCUAAAACAUGCUGAGGUGUUUUUUCAAAGUGAGCACCAAGUGGCACAUGGCUGCAGUGGCUUGUGAAAGAUGAAUUGAGAAACAUGCUCAGUCUCCACUCUCGUAGUUCCCAAUUCACAGUGUUCUGAGAAGUUUUGCAGCAAAAAUUGUUUGACCCAAUAUUAUACUAUCAAACAUAGUUUGGAAAAAGCUGGAUUGGAAUAAUCUCUACAGGUUUAGAAGAGCUGUGAGUGAACAUAUCAUUGACAAAAGGUUCAGCAACAAAGCUCUCUCCUAAACUUCUCAUCGUGUCCAGCUGUGCUGCUGCUCAGUAAUGCCUCAAGGAGAAGAGGAAAGUCUUGGCCUCCCUGCUCUGUGUGGAGUAUAAAUUUUGCUCUCCUUCACAGAUGCAUGGAGGGACUUCUGGGAGGUUCCUCUGGCCCCAAGAGCUGGAUUUGGGCUUGGUAUGCUGUCUCAAGGUUGUCCUGGGACAGUGAGGAUCACCAAGGAAGGGCCUUAUCACUGCACCUUGCUGCAGCAGACUCAGCUGUGUGUGAAAUGCCCUGGGAAAGCUCAGUCUCCGGAGGCAAAGCCAAGGACUUGCCAUGACUCAGGACAAAAGAGGACUUGGACAUCAUGAGCCAGCAGGGGGAGACUGGUUUCCAGGGGAGCUUCAGAAGCCGAGCCAUGUGGAGAUUAAUAUCUGAGACCUUUCUGGGAGAGGGAUCAGAGUGCCAGCUGACUCUUGCUGGCCAUGUGAUCUUGGAUAUCUGACAGACUUUCCAAGCCUCAGUUGACUUAUUUGUGAAAUAAGGAUAGUGAGAGUACCUAUCAAACAGAAUGCUGUACACGAGAAUAAAUGUGUAAAUGACUUGGCAGAACACUUGGCACAUAGUUAGCA